Molecule: long non-coding RNA, 668 nt
Organism: Leopardus geoffroyi (Geoffroy's cat)
Lineage: Eukaryota; Metazoa; Chordata; Mammalia; Carnivora; Felidae
Exons: 2
Source: RefSeq, a predicted model, not a curated record
AGCAGCACCCCCGGGGGAUGACCUCACUGGAUGUCCUGCUGGUGUCACCAGGCUGCAGGGGGACCUGGGGGCAUGACAGUGCCCGUCAAGCUGAGGAAACAAAGUGCCAGAGGAGACGCGUCUGGACAGGGACACAGGAAAGCGAUGCUAGGAUGACGGUCACUGCGUCUAAGCGUGAUUGUACAAGUGGAAAGCCUUUUCAUUCGAAUCCUUCCUGCUUUGCUCUGGUGCCAGUCAGAAUCCUGAAACCUAAUUACUUUUCUCAGAGUCCACAGCUGGAAAUCACCACAUGUGACCUUUUUUUUUUUGUCAUGUCUAAAACAGGCAAGAAAUAUAUUCUUGACUUUAGCGAUACUGCAUAGGACAAAAGAAUUCUGGAAAAAUACAAAUGUAAGCUACAUUUCUUCUUUACCAUUUAAGCUGAGAGAUACCACUCACAUUCAUAUUUCUUAAACUUUUUACAUCACAACUGUCAUUUUAAACAAGCAAACUUUUUUUUUUUUUUAAGGAUACCCUGGAAAGUCAACUGAUAGAGCAGUUUGAGAAUAUAUAUACAUCCAUAAAAAAAAAAUCACAGGUGCAUAAAUGGGGACACUUACAGACAAGACUGUGUGUGGUGGAAGUUAUGAAGGAAGAAAACAUACGAUGACUCUUUCAUCGGAAUAAGG